RNAcentral lists this long non-coding RNA (4362 nucleotides) under Homo sapiens (human). RNAcentral's name for it is "HSALNT0088134". The record is from RNAcentral. Lineage: Eukaryota; Metazoa; Chordata; Mammalia; Primates; Hominidae.
UGCACCUGGCCAAAUAUUUCAAUUUUUAAAUGGCAUAUUAGUUCACCUCUAUCCCAAAAGAAAGGUUAUAAUCUUGUUUAAAUUAUAGAAGUAUUUUAUCUCAACCACAUAAAAUAUUAGAAUAUUCUGACACAAAUUACUGAACACAAUAAAAUGUACUAAAGCUACAGUAUCAAUGUUACUAUUUAUCAGUAAUCCACUGGGUUUCUUACAUCGUAAAGGCCUAGGGAAGAAAUCAGAAGUUUCAUGGGAAGUCACAGAUGGCGUCAGAUCAUCCGCAGAAGACUGAGUUUCCUCGUCAUCACCUGACAACAGGUCUUUUGCUAUUUCCUCCUGGAAGAAUAAGAAGGCAGUGCUACAGUUAGAAAUGAUUACAUCUCAUUAAUUAAGAAAACUAUCUUUUUAUAACAUAUCAUUAAGAAGCAGUUGGAACCUUAUGAGAGAAAUAUGAAAUUCUCCUAUGAUUUACUUCAUGUACAUAAAUAUUUAAUAUUAUAUAUUAUAUAAUAUUCAAUAAUAUACUAUUAAAUGAUAAUCAGUGCAACCAUAUACUAAAACAAUUGCCUAAUUUGUGGGUAUGCAGAGAGCUUAUCUAAAGCUGUAGGCUAAUUUUUAGUGAAUUUACAACAAAAACAGUCUGACUUUUAAGUGGUUAACAAUUAUAUUCAUUUUCUGUCAAUAAUAAAACUGAAAAAAUGCCUCCAACCUCCACUCUUCCAAUAAUUUAAAAGUCCGACUAAUGAACAGCACUGACUACUGACAUAAUUUUAAAAGAAACAAGUUUGAAUUAAUUUUUAUGUAAGUAUACAGUCAUCCUUGUGCCUAGCACAAAGUAGCCACUCAAUAAAUACUUGUUGAAUGACUAUGGUCAUUAAGGUCUGUGGUACAUUAAUAUCACAUUGACUUAAAAGUGGGAACAAUAUAACUCACAGGAAGAGGUUCCAAGAUGUGGAUUCCUCUCCCUGCCUGAGAUCUGAAAGGCAAGGAAAGGUUCCCAGGGAUCUGUUAGCAGAGGCCAUGGCCGUGUGAAUUUUCCUCAGCAGGGACUAGGCCUCCCCACAACCAGCCUACGUUAGAGAUGGAUCACCGCGGUCUUGGCUGCUGCGGCCGCUGUCACUCCCAGAGCCAAGAAAACAGAACUUCUCUCCAACCACUCCACGCCUAAGCCAGCUUGGUUUGAAGGCUUCUGGGGGAUUUAUUAAUCAAGGCUUUUAUGUGUUUAUAGGAUCAAAAGAAGUUAAGGCAAAAUCUAAGUUUAGAUACAAUGUGUCUACACAGGAAAGAUGAAAACAUUAUGGGAGAAUAUUCAGGCAUGCAAAGUACCAUGAAGCUGCUAUUAAUACUACUCUUAACAUAGGGUGAUCAAAGCCAAACAAAGUUUAAAUCAGCCACCAAAAUAAGCACAAUGGGUCAACAAGAAGUUUACAUUUAAGAAUUAUUAAAUAAUACUUUAAAUGGAAGUAAAAGCAGUCAAUGGUAACAGACCCUGAAUUUUUCUUUCAAAUGCUCACACUUACUUUGUCUAGUGUCAUGUCUGGUAGUUCAUCUGCCAGUUCACUUGGGGAACUAUUUGCACUGGAAUUUGCAACUGCUGGAAUUGUAGGUUCAUAGCCAUAGAAUGCCAGUAAAUCUUCUAGAGGCAUGGUUCCUUCCUGUUCAAGCCAGGGCAUAAACACGGACUCAGCAGAUGUCACAAUACUGAACUGCAGGUAAACUGUACUGUCCUUAGGUUCAGAAAGCACAUUAUCAAAACAGCAGAACAAAUCAAAGGCAAGUUUCAGUUUUUCUUUUUGUGCUGUUGUCAGAAAACAGGACCAAACACCUGGAGCUAUAAUUAAUGUAUAAACAACAGCCUAACAAUUAACACCUUAGUUUUUAUUUUCUAGAAGCAUUUUACUAUUUUAAAAAUUCCUCAAAUAUUUGCUUUAGUGCCUUUUUUUUUGCUUUCAAGUUAACAUAAAGAUUUGCCCUGAAAACAUUUCCAAUUAAUCAAUCAAUAACUUGUAAUUCACAGCUUCUUUCCUUGCAUUUAACAGCUGACCACUUGCUUUAUUCUUCAUGUUAAUUAGAAGACACCUGGUAGAAAACCUUUGCUGAAUGUUUACUAACAUCAGCAAUAUUUAUGUUCAAAGAACAAUUAUCCUUUUAUAUUCUUACUACAUCUCCUAUCUUUAUACCAGUUUUUUUAAAACAACUGUCUGAGGAAGAUUAUACUGUUAUCACCAUUUCACAGGUGAGAAAACUGUGGCUUAAUUCUGGGUUUGAAUCCCAGUUCCCCAAGUUAUCUCACUGGCUGCACUGCUUUAAUAAAAUUACAUACCCUGGCUACAGUGCUGCCUAUGUUAUGAAUACCUACGCCAUGCCUCACAGUGACACCAAGUCACUGUUCCCCUCUAGGAAUCCAUGUGAAAAUAAGUGUUACCAUGCACAACGUAACAUUCAGUACAUGCAGACUGCAUAUACAGCCAGGAUGCACAUACAGCUGUGGUAGGAAUAAUAUGCUACACCAUAUAGCCUAGGUGUGUAGUAGGCUACAUUAACUACUUUUGUCUAAGCAUACUCUAUGAUGUUCACACAGCAAUGAAACUGCCUAAUGACGCCUUUUUCAGAAUGUAUUCCCUUGUUCAGUGACACAUGACUAUGUUUUAACUACUAAAGUGUAUAGAACUAUUUAUCAUUCAAGGCCAGUCGCAGUGGCUCACUCCUGUAAUCCUAGCAUUUUGGGAGGCCGAGGCAGGCAGAUCACUUGAGGUCAGGAGUUCGAGACCAGCCUGGCCAACAUGGUGAAACCCCGUCUCUACUAAAAAUACAAAAAAAGAACUAUUUAUCAUUCGAAUAAAUAACCUCAAAACAAUAUACUCACGAACUAGUUAAUCUGUUAAACAUUUUUAAGAUUUCUGUAUCCAUCAAUUAAGAGAUUUUUAAAAUUUGCUUAUGGUUUAGUUUUCCCUUUAAAAUAAAAUAAUCCGUAAAGCAAACAACAUGAAAACACUAAAGCAGAGUGUGCAAAACAUGCCCACAGUUGAUCACAAAGUGACCUGAGAAGAGCCAGUGAUGAUUCCUUAGAGGGCCAGCUGGCUGCCCACAGGGCCCACAGGGGAUGCAAAAGUUUGGCCUUCACCUUUGCAGGUAUGGAACUUACAUAAUUUAUUGUGUCUAACUAAAACAGAUUUAUGCUCAAUGAACUUACAAACAGGUAUAUGAUAGAACACUAAUUUAUAAAUUUGCAGUAGUAGACAUACGCCUUUCUAAUGACCAUAAAUGAUCAUGAAAAUCUUUUUUAGCUUGGGAUUUAAAUCAACCAAAAGUCCUCUGGGAGCAUGGAAUCAGCAUAAAUUGAAUUGGAUGGUCAGAACAGGGUGAAGUUCACCUACACCAUGGGGAAACUUCAAUGAAUUAUUUUUCUUCCAAACCAAAGAAUCCAUUGAAGCUAACAAGACUCAAAUUUAGAGUCUCUCUACAGUCCUAUCUUGCUCCUUGCAGAGUCCAUGCAGCCCAUUCCCUUUGGCUCAUAUUGGUUCUAAUACAAGAGGUGCCUGGGUUGCAGCCUUUGCCAAGCACCUGUCAGUAGUAUUUCCGCAGAACCUCACAGUUUCACACUCUCUCCCUGAAAUGGGGAGUGGCAAUUUUCACCUUUUAUGCACUGAUGGUCCACCUUCCCAUCAUUUACUCAGUUCUAAGUGCUUGGCUGAGGGCUACUAGCUACUUGCUACUGGACAUACAAAUGAAAUUUACUGAAGAAUCCCUGCUCACAAGGAAUUCAGUCUUAGUGGGAGGAACUUAGUGGGAGUAAGUCUCAAAGUCUGUAAGGAUGUAAGGAUGAGUUAGCCAUUAUGAUACAAUGUGAUGGCUUCAAUAUUCAAUUGUGACUAUAGACAAGGGCAGACCUACACCCCAAGAAUACUGGUAUGGAGUAUGGAGGUAUGCACAGAGGGUGAAGACUGAGCUAAGUCUUGAAAGAUGACAAGGCUUUUGACAAUACACAAAUAUAGGGCUGCCAAGUUUGAUGAGUGUAACAAACAAAUAGAGCCCUGAGAUACAGAGUAACACUCGGGGCCCACUUCCAGAGGGUAGCAGGGAAAGACAGUCAGCAAUCUUCAGCGGAGGCCUGAAGUCUGAGAAGGCCAGUCCCAUGAAGAGUAUUCCAGGCAAAAAAAAAAGACAUAUGUGAGGCCUGAAGGUGGUUCCCUGCUAAGCCAAGUGGCCAAAGUUUGAGUUCUUUCAUCAUCAUAGUCAUGGACCAACAUCUCAGCAGUGGGGUCAAAAUCAUGAUCCUCAGAAGACAAAGACCCAACUGGAAUAAAACAAACUGAAUCACUUUACACAUUUACAAGGCUAUUAACAAAAGAAAAUAAAAAUUUG